AAACAAAGAAACAAGCGAUAGAGGGAGGAAGAAGGGAAGAGAGAGAAGAAGGGAGGAGAGGGGGGGGGGGCGAAUUAUACGAGCCCCGUGAGGAAAUGUUGAAGCGCUCUUUGAAAAGAGAGCACAAGAGAGCGUGACCCUGUUAUAGUGAACGCGUAUAGGGGCGAUGUAUCCAGUGUGUACUCAGCUGUUGUGGGGGACAUUUUGGAUGUGAGAGUUUGUAAAGUGUCCGAGAUGCACAGUGUUGUUGCGAGGGGUGGCACAUUCGCGCACAGUGUGCGCCGUCUCUGUAAUUUUCGCUGUGAGAUAUUCGCAGAGGGGCCCUUUUUUGUGGAAACCUGGGCAAUUGGAUGGCAGAUGAGUUUGACUGUAAAUGGGUUGGUAUUUCGUGGUGGUGGUUGUGGAUUAGGGUUAUUUAUGUACGAUGCAUGCGUUUUGCACUUACGAUUCUGACCCACAACUAUUAUCUCCCAAUUCUGGAUUCGGUGUUUAGUCGCUCAUCUAUCUGACCCGUCUUGAAACACGGACCAAGGAGUUUAAGGUGUACGCAAGUCAUUGGCGGUUGAAAGUCAAAGGCGUAAUGAAAGUGGGACUACUGGUGCCUGGGAGGUAAGUUGGUUUCGUUUCGAUGAGGCCGACGCAACAUCGACCCAUGACUAGGACUUGUUCUGUUGUGGAGUCUGAGCGUACGCUUUGAGACCCGAAAGAUGGUGAACUAUGCCUUACAGGUACCAGUACCGAGGGGGU
This 747-nucleotide ribosomal RNA is filed under the name Aphelenchoides sp. Ap090. RNAcentral describes it as "eukaryotic LSU rRNA". It matches the Rfam family "Eukaryotic large subunit ribosomal RNA", at positions 1 to 884 of the family's 3401-position model. Lineage: Eukaryota; Metazoa; Nematoda; Chromadorea; Rhabditida; Aphelenchoididae. The record is from RNAcentral.